This 61-nucleotide microRNA precursor is filed under the name Pristionchus pacificus. RNAcentral's name for it is "mir-8364 microRNA precursor family". It matches the Rfam family "mir-8364 microRNA precursor family". The record is from Rfam by way of RNAcentral. Lineage: Eukaryota; Metazoa; Nematoda; Chromadorea; Rhabditida; Neodiplogasteridae.
UCUUCGUUUCACGCACUCUCUCGCCGGUCAGAGUGGCGAGAGAGAGUGCGAACUGAAGAGA